GAAGCUAUAGUUCCAUGGUAGAGAGCAUGCUUAACAUGCAUGAGGUCCUGGGUUCAAUCCCCAGUGCCUCCA
RNAcentral lists this transfer RNA (72 nucleotides) under Camelus bactrianus (Bactrian camel). It matches the Rfam family "tRNA". Rfam says of the family: Transfer RNA (tRNA) molecules are approximately 80 nucleotides in length. Their secondary structure includes four short double-helical elements and three loops (D, anti-codon, and T loops). Further hydrogen bonds mediate the characteristic L-shaped molecular structure. tRNAs have two regions of fundamental functional importance: the anti-codon, which is responsible for specific mRNA codon recognition, and the 3' end, to which the tRNAs corresponding amino acid is attached (by aminoacyl-tRNA synthetases). tRNAs cope with the degeneracy of the genetic code in two manners: having more than one tRNA (with a specific anti-codon) for a particular amino acid; and 'wobble' base-pairing, i.e. permitting non-standard base-pairing at the 3rd anti-codon position. RNAcentral also lists the same sequence under 2 other names. Lineage: Eukaryota; Metazoa; Chordata; Mammalia; Artiodactyla; Camelidae. The record is from Rfam by way of RNAcentral.